CAGAUUGCCGCGGAAGGGGGGAGGCGUUUCGGCGCGGCCCCUUUUCUGAGGAAAGUCCGGGCUCCGCAGGGCAUGAUGCCGGGUAACGCCCGGGCGGGGAAAGACAAAGGGUUCCCCGACAGCAAGCGCAACAGAAAGCAAACCGCUGGGCGUCCCGGCCUUCCGGCGCGGACCGGAGGGCCGGGACGGUAUAAGGGGAAGCGAUUCGCCUUAACCAGCAAGGGUGAAAGGGCGGGGUAAGAGCCCACCGCGGCGCCGGCAACGGCGCUGGAACCUUCCGGUUAGCCGUGAGUACGGCUGAAGCGGAUCAUUGCAAGCCUCAUCAGGAGCAAAGUCAAACAGCGGUCCCGGCGGGCGUUGGGGAGAACCGGAUGUCCGUCUUGGGUUGGGGGUAAAACCCCACGGGCGGCCCGAUCCGAACCGCGGGUGGACUGCAAGGAUGCCGUCCGAGAGGGCGGCGCAAGACAGAUGGCAAUCCCGCGGCCUUCCGCAAGGGGGGCCGCGCUACAGAACCCGGCUUAUGGUUCAUCGUUUUUC
This 537-nucleotide RNase P RNA is filed under the name Treponema sp. RNAcentral's name for it is "RNase P RNA component class A". It matches the Rfam family "Bacterial RNase P class A". From Rfam's summary of the family: Ribonuclease P (RNase P) is a ubiquitous endoribonuclease, found in archaea, bacteria and eukarya as well as chloroplasts and mitochondria. Its best characterised activity is the generation of mature 5'-ends of tRNAs by cleaving the 5'-leader elements of precursor-tRNAs. Cellular RNase Ps are ribonucleoproteins. The record is from RNAcentral. Lineage: Bacteria; Pseudomonadati; Spirochaetota; Spirochaetia; Treponematales; Treponemataceae.